ACUGUGGAGUGUACAAGAACUUGUGAGGAGAGUAUUGUUUAUAAUCGCCAAAGUAUACACAUUGAAGCAGUAG
This 73-nucleotide non-coding RNA is filed under the name unclassified sequences. RNAcentral describes it as "RAGATH-18 RNA". It matches the Rfam family "RAGATH-18 RNA". From Rfam's summary of the family: Actinobacteria, Firmicutes, Fusobacteria, Thermotogae (1 example). The record is from Rfam by way of RNAcentral.